This is a long non-coding RNA of Salvia miltiorrhiza (redroot sage), 978 nucleotides long. RefSeq lists it as uncharacterized. The transcript is spliced from 2 exons. NCBI's taxonomy places the organism in Eukaryota, Viridiplantae, Streptophyta, Magnoliopsida, Lamiales, Lamiaceae. The record is from RefSeq and is a predicted model, not a curated record.
UUUAAAAAAAUUUCGGCCCAUCCUCAUUAUAGGGCUUUGAGCCCAAGCCUAACCCUAAUCAUACAUACAUAUACAUACACACACAAAACACAUAACACACGCACACACACAGCACGCCUCACUCUCCCUCUCUCUCCCUCUCGGUCUGCCUCCCUCUCCCUCGCCGGACGACAGCGGCGCCGUCAGCAGCGAGCGCCGCUUCGCCGGCCGCUUCUCUUCCCUUCCCCUAUUCUCUCUUUCCCCUUUGGUUCUUCCCUUUUCGUCCGUCUCUAUCUCUCGGAAACAACCACACGCCGCCUCUGCCUCCUUCGCGUGCCACUGCCGCCUCCGCCGUGGCCAAGCACGGCGCCGCCUGGUCGUCCCCGGCCUUGGAACAGGGUGGCAGAGGCCUCUCCGCCGCUGCAUGUGCCUUCUCCGGCCGUUGUGAAAAGCCGAGCGUCGCCGCGCCGCUUCCCCUGUUCUCCGCCGUCUCCGCCAUGGCCGGAAUCGUGGUGGAUGGCCGAGCUUUGUCUCGCCGGAAAGAACCGCCGUUCGUGUCGCUGCGCCGCUGCUUCCGCCGCGUCGUCGGAAAAGAUAAGUCUCUCCCCCUUUUUCCCGUAUCUCUCUCUCUUUUUUUUAUUUUUACAGAAGCCCUAACCAUCUCUCUCUCGUUUCAGAUAGACAAAGGAAAAAGGCGGCGGCUGCCGCCGCGCCGCCUCCGGCCGCGAGCAGCCGUCGGCUGCUCUCACCCCCCCCCAAAUUCCAGUCACACGCACAAAACACACAUAGAGCACUUAGGGUUUCAAUUCUGUUCAUUUUCAUUCAUUUCUAUUUACAAAAACUGAUCUGUACUUGUAAUAGAUAGAAAUAUAGUAAAAUGUGUGCGUGUGUAUUAUUCUGUUGGUGGUUCUCUGAUGGUGAUAAGCUAAUGUAAUUGAAACAAUAAUAGUCUAAAAGAAGUGGUAAUGGAUGCGUGUGUUCUAUCUGUUUUCAUUUGAA